UGCAGGCAUGAUUGUAAGUUGCUUUGGAUAAAAGCAUCUGCUAAAUGUCUAUUA
Salmo salar (Atlantic salmon) is the source of this 54-nucleotide non-coding RNA. NCBI's taxonomy places the organism in Eukaryota, Metazoa, Chordata, Actinopteri, Salmoniformes, Salmonidae. The record is from Rfam.